AAGAGAACCAAGUUCCUCUGGUAUUUCUCCUGCAAAAUUGUUCGCAAGUACUUAAGAGUUGUAUUGCUGUAAUCAAUUAAUGGUGGUAUGUAGAAUCAUGAAGUUUAUAAAAGCAACAACAUAUAUAAAUAUAGUACCUGUCAGAUUAUUGAAGCCUACAGAAAGCUCCUGAACCAAUGUCAGAUUUCCAAGACUUCUUGGGAUGUUUCCUGUGAAAGCGUUUUUAUUCAGAUACACACGAAGCAGCUUUCCACAUUGCCCUAUACUUGACGGAAUUUGGCCAACCAGUUGAUUGUGAUGAGCAAUCAGCGCCUGAAGAUUUGGAAGAUUUUUACACAUAUCAUCUGGGAGACCACCAGAUAUCAUAUUGUUCGCCA
This 377-nucleotide unclassified non-coding RNA is filed under the name Hevea brasiliensis (rubber tree). The record is from RNAcentral. Lineage: Eukaryota; Viridiplantae; Streptophyta; Magnoliopsida; Malpighiales; Euphorbiaceae.